This 60-nucleotide microRNA precursor is filed under the name Gekko japonicus. Its description in RNAcentral is "Gja-Mir-8-P1a_pre stem-loop". It matches the Rfam family "mir-8/mir-141/mir-200 microRNA precursor family", at positions 6 to 67 of the family's 72-position model. Rfam says of the family: The bounds of the precursors are predicted based on conservation and base pairing and are not generally known. Lineage: Eukaryota; Metazoa; Chordata; Lepidosauria; Squamata; Gekkonidae. The record is from RNAcentral.
CAUCUUACUGGGCAGCAUUGGAUGUAUUCUGUCUUUCUAAUACUGCCUGGUAAUGAUGAU